UAAUACCAAGGGGGCUAGCGUUGCUCGGAAUCACUGGGCGUAAAGGGUGCGUAGGCGGGUCUUUAAGUCAGGGGUGAAAUCCUGGAGCUCAACUCCCGAACUGCCUUUGAUACUGAGGAUCUUGAGUUCGGGAGAGGUGAGUGGAACUGCGAGUGUAGAGGUGAAAUUCGUAGAUAUUCGCAAGAACACCAGUGGCGAAGGCGGCUCACUGGCCCGAUACUGACGCUGAGGCACGAAAGCGUGGGGAGCGAACCGGAUUAGAUACCCGGGUAGUCCACGCCCUAAACGUUGUGAACUAGGUGUUGGUCGGAUUGACCCGAUCAGUGCCGCAGCUAACGCAUUAAGUUCACCGCCUGGGGACUACGGCCGCAAGGUUAAAACUCAAAGGAAUAGGCGGGGGCCCGCACAAGCAGCGGAGCGUGUGGUUUAAUUCGAGGCAACGCGAAGAACCUUACCUGGGCUUGACAUGCAGAGGAAAUUUUGGUGAAAGCCAGAACCUCCCCGCAAGGGACUUCUGCGCAGGUGGUGCAUGGCUGUCGUCAGCUCGUGCCGUGAGGUGUUGGGUUAAGUCCCGCAACGAGCGCAACCCCUGUUCUUAGUUGAAUAAUCUAGGGAGACUGCCCCGGCGAAACCCGGAGGAAGGUGGGGAUGACGUCAAGUCCGCAUGCCCUUUAUGUCCAGGGCUACACACACGCUACAAUGGCCGGUACAACGGGUUCCGACACGGCGACGUGAAGGCAAUCCCUUAAAGCCGGUCUCAGUUCGGAUUGCAGGCUGCAACUCGCCUGCAUGAAGUCAGAGUUGCUAGUAACCGCAGGUCAGCACACUGCGGUGAAUACGUUCCCGGGCCUUGCACUCACCGCCCGUCACAUCACUUGAAUCUGUUGCUCCCGAAGUCGCUGGCCGAACCCGUAAGGGACGGAGGCGCCGAAGGAGUGGCCGGUGAGAGGGGUG
RNAcentral lists this ribosomal RNA (954 nucleotides) under uncultured bacterium. RNAcentral's name for it is "bacterial SSU rRNA". It matches the Rfam family "Bacterial small subunit ribosomal RNA", at positions 521 to 1482 of the family's 1533-position model. The record is from RNAcentral.